This 490-nucleotide ribosomal RNA is filed under the name uncultured bacterium. RNAcentral's name for it is "partial 16S ribosomal RNA". It matches the Rfam family "Bacterial small subunit ribosomal RNA", at positions 30 to 507 of the family's 1533-position model. The record is from RNAcentral.
AUUGAACGCUGGCGGCAGGCCUAACACAUGCAAGUCGAACGGUAACAGGAAGCAGCUUGCUGCUUUGCUGACGAGUGGCGGACGGGUGAGUCAUGUCUGGGAAACUGCCCGAUGGAGGGGGAUAACUACUGGAAACGGUAGCUAAUACCGCAUAACGUCGCAAGACCAAAGAGGGGGACCUUAGGGCCUCUUGCCAUCGGAUGUGCCCAGAUGGGAUUAGCUAGUAGGUGGGGUAACGGCUCACCUAGGCGACGAUCCCUAGCUGGUCUGAGAGGAUGACCAGCCACACUGGAACUGGAACACGGUCCAGACUCCUACGGGAGGCAGCAGUGGGGAAUAUUGCACAGUGGGCGCAAGCCUGAUGCAGCCAUGCCGCGUGUAUGAAGAAGGCCUUCGGGUUGUAAAGUACUUUCAGCGGGGAGGAAGGGAGUAAAGUUAAUACCUUUGCUCAUUGACGUUACCCGCAGAAGAAGCACCGGCUAACUCCGUG